AAGCCGCAGGGCCAGCACCCACACACCCAGGCAGCGCAGCUCCUGAUGUUAGCGUCUGCGUCAGGACACAUCGAGAUCAAAGGCAAGGGGAAAGAUUAAGAUUUCUUUUCUUGAGCGUGAGUUCCAGCCUGGAGUCACCAAGUGUUUUCAGUGGUGAUGACACUACGCAGACAAGAUUACAGAGUUCUGGUGUGAAGUUUAAUCAAAAUUGCUCAUCUGAUCAAGGGCACUGUCACUGGUGGUGACAAUGGAAGUUACCCAUCACCCAGAAAGUCUGCUUCUGGGAAUUUAUCCUGAGGAACUAAUGGAGAAUGUGGGGCUCGGCUCAUAGGAUAGUUUAGUCCAAUUGACUUCUAUCCAGCUUCACUAGACUCGCCAAGUACUACACACUUCUGGGGACACAACAGUAAUGGUGAGAUGUGGUUCCUGGUCUUCAAGAACUCAUGUCAAGUGGGAACACAUAUGCCUCAGCAGCAAGUCAACAAAAAUCUAAGGGAAGCCUAGGAUUUGAAGCACAACUGUCCCCAUCGCCCAAGAUCAGAUACUACAGUGAAGUGCUUUGAAAGGCAGCUCUAUGCUAACAUAGGCUCCCAAACGCCUCCCGUCAUAGCCUCCCCUCAGAUGGGUCAGCUCACAGGAAAAGCUACGUGUUCUCAUGAGAGCCAGCAUAUAGAAUGUACAGCAUGUGAGGAAAUGGCUACAAGCUUCUCUAUGGCAGGCACAUGUCGGAACCUGAGUAAUGCUGUGGCCAGCCUUCCAGCAGCAAUACCCUUCUGAUAUAGUAAUAUUUUCCUCCUGUAGAAGAAUACUACAAGACACUCUAUUAAAGGAAGAUGUUUCACUUUCCUUUAUACUAGAUGUUUUAGAUCUGGUCUGAAUUUCAAGUGUACCCUGUACCAAUUUUUUUUUAAUUGCAAUUCCAUGUUGCCCCCUAGUGUUCAUCUGUAUGAUUGCAUCCUGUUGUAAUAGGCAAGGAUGAGGGGCAGGGAAGUCUGGGUCCUUGACUUCCCCAGAAGGGGAAAAAUAAAUGUAGUGGAUAUGUAUUAGGACUUGCAAAAGUACACAAAUAACAAAUAACAGCCACAUAAAUUUCAAAAUAUAA
Long non-coding RNA from Suricata suricatta (meerkat), 1102 nucleotides. RefSeq lists it as uncharacterized. The record is from RefSeq and is a predicted model, not a curated record. Lineage: Eukaryota; Metazoa; Chordata; Mammalia; Carnivora; Herpestidae. The transcript has 3 exons.